UGACGAGCGUUAUCCGGAAUUACUGGGCGUAAAGCGCACGCACGCGGUCUAACAAGUCUGGCGUGAAGUCCUCUGGCUUAACCAGGGGCGGUCGCUGGAGACUGUUAAACUUGAGGCGAUGAGAGGGGUGCAGAAUUCCCGGUGUAGUGGUGGAAUGCGUAGAUAUCGGAAGGAACAUCAGUGGCGAAAGCGACUUCCUGGACCAAUACUGACGCUCAUGUGCGAAAGCGUGGGGAGCAAACAGG
RNAcentral lists this ribosomal RNA (245 nucleotides) under uncultured bacterium. Its description in RNAcentral is "partial 16S ribosomal RNA". It matches the Rfam family "Bacterial small subunit ribosomal RNA", at positions 532 to 776 of the family's 1533-position model. The record is from RNAcentral.